GACGAACGCUGGCGGCGUGCUUAACACAUGCAAGUCGAACGGAAAGGCCCUGCUUGCAGGGUACUCGAGUGGCGAACGGGUGAGUAGCACGUGGGUGAUCUGCCCUGCACUUCGGGAUAAGCCUGGGAAACUGGGUCUAAUACCGGAUAUGACCUUCCAUGUAGUGUGGGGGGUGGAAAGAUUUAUCGGUGUGGGAUGAGCCCGCGGCCUAUCAGCUUGUUGGUGGGGUAAUGGCCUACCAAGGCGUCGACGGGUAGCCGGCCUGAGAGGGUGGACGGCCACAUUGGGACUGAGAUACGGCCCAGACUCCUACGGGAGGCGGCAGUGGGGAAUAUUGCACAAUGGGCGGAAGCCUGAUGCAGCGACGCCGCGUGGGGGAUGACGGCCUUCGGGUUGUAAACCUCUUUCGACAGGGACGAAGCUUCGGUGACGGUACCUGUAUAAGAAGCACCGGCUAACUACGUG
This 465-nucleotide ribosomal RNA is filed under the name uncultured bacterium. Its description in RNAcentral is "partial 16S ribosomal RNA". It matches the Rfam family "Bacterial small subunit ribosomal RNA", at positions 28 to 507 of the family's 1533-position model. The record is from RNAcentral.